Long non-coding RNA from Populus euphratica (Euphrates poplar), 566 nucleotides. RefSeq lists it as uncharacterized. The transcript is spliced from 2 exons. The record is from RefSeq and is a predicted model, not a curated record. NCBI's taxonomy places the organism in Eukaryota, Viridiplantae, Streptophyta, Magnoliopsida, Malpighiales, Salicaceae.
AUAACAAAGAGAAGGGGGAAUAUGUGUUUUUGAUUGUUAUUUAGGUUCCAAGUUGUAUGCUUUUGACCUGGUGAUCCUCAAAAUUGAUAGACUUUUGAUAGUAAGGGGAUAUGGUUGCGAAAGCAUGGCAAUGAUAGAGGCUACAAACCUACUUCAAAGAAUGACUUUUCACAGCACAAUUAUCUUACUAUGCGCAAAUAAUGAUAUGCAUAUCGAGGGGGUAAGACAGCGCCCACAGCAGGCUAGAGCGGCGCCUACAAGAGGGAAAAGGAUGCACAUGUUUUCAUAAGAAUUCAAGUGCAUGGGAGAGAAGUGGCUGGGCUACAACAGGCUAGAGUGGCCUUGGGUUAGGCUAGGGUAAGGGGCUUUUGCUGGGCUACCCCUUCUUGUCCCCGUCUAGCCUGUGGCUGGGAGCUUCGGCUGAGCUACCCCUUCUUCUCCCCGGCUAGUCUUCAGUUGGGUCUUGGGUUUAGCAUAUUUUGCUUGCCCAUCAAUUUUAAUCAUAAGAGAACGAGAGAGUGGAUGGUCACUAAGGCUCUGGUACAGUUAAAGAACCGUCUAAGAAA